This 461-nucleotide ribosomal RNA is filed under the name uncultured bacterium. RNAcentral describes it as "partial 16S ribosomal RNA". It matches the Rfam family "Bacterial small subunit ribosomal RNA", at positions 338 to 795 of the family's 1533-position model. The record is from RNAcentral.
CCUACGGGAGGCAGCAGUGAGGAAUAUUGGUCAAUGGGCGCAAGCCUGAACCAGCCAAGUCGCGUGAGGGAUGACGGUCCUAUGGAUUGUAAACCUCUUUUGUCGGUGAGCAAGGCCCGCCACGUGUGGCGGGAAGGAGAGUACCCGAAGAAAAAGCAUCGGCUAACUCCGUGCCAGCAGCCGCGGUAAUACGGAAGGUCCGGGCGUUACCCGGAUUUAUUGGGUUUAAAGGGAGCGUAGGCCGCAUGUCAAGCGUGCUGUGAAAGUUCCGGGCUCAACCCGGGCCGUGCAGCGCGAAGUGGCGUGCUUGAGUCCGCGAAAAGCAGGCGGAAUGCGUGGUGUAGCGGUGAAAUGCUUAGAUAUGACGAAGAACCCCGAUUGCGAAGGCAGCUUGCUGCAGCGGAACUGACGCUGAUGCUCGAAAGCGCGGGUAUCGAACAGGAUUAGAUACCCUUGUAGUC